Molecule: transfer RNA, 71 nt
Filed under: Marmota monax (woodchuck)
Lineage: Eukaryota; Metazoa; Chordata; Mammalia; Rodentia; Sciuridae
Description: tRNA.Ala
Rfam family: tRNA
About the family: Transfer RNA (tRNA) molecules are approximately 80 nucleotides in length. Their secondary structure includes four short double-helical elements and three loops (D, anti-codon, and T loops).
Source: RNAcentral
GGGGUUGUGGCUCAGUGGUAAAGCACUCGCCUAGCAUGUGUGGGGCGCUGGGUUCAAUCCCCAGCACCACA